AGCUAUGAACUCAUUCCGUAUCAAAAAGAAAAAAAGAAAAAAGAAAAAAAGAAAAAAAAAACUACGAGCUCACUUUAAUACAGGAGCGUUUGAGAAGGAGAGGGUUGAAUAGAUGGAAGGAAUCAAAAACGAAGACUUGCUCUCCUUCAUGUUCACAAAUAAUAAACCCUAAUCUCCCUUUUCAAUUUGUGUGUUCCUCAAUUGUUUCGUGAAUUUUAUGCUCAAAAAGGAGUUCAAAACAACCAAACAAAAAUCAAUUUAUCAUGCAAAAUUUCAACAAUCAGAUCCAUCAAACAAAGAAGGAAACCACAACCAUCCUUUCGCCGCAAGACACAUCAUUGGAUCAGACAACCACUGCAGCUGCUACUAGGCUCCUCUCAGGUUCAACCAUCAGCAAACAGUCCCUUCUCUUCAUCAUCAAGACAUCAACAGCUCCUUUAUUCCCUUACACUACUAACAUUGCUACCCUGUCAGCCUUCCGCACUCUAAACUGCACACUGGUUGGCUUAUAACAUUAAAGUUUUAAUCUUUUCGUGGCUUAAAGUCUAUCAUCCUGCAACUGCAAUACCCUUCAGCGACUGGAGUUGGUUUUGUACUUGAUGUUCUUUUUGGGUUUUUUGAUCAUUAGAACUUGUCUGUAUUGUUAAUACAUUGUACAGUUUUUCUUUUCUUUGUAAUAGAAAAUGUAAACUUUAAACGCCUACUUUAAAAGAUAUGGUAUUUUUCCUUA
This is a long non-coding RNA of Papaver somniferum (opium poppy), 730 nucleotides long. RefSeq lists it as uncharacterized. Lineage: Eukaryota; Viridiplantae; Streptophyta; Magnoliopsida; Ranunculales; Papaveraceae. The transcript has 2 exons. The record is from RefSeq and is a predicted model, not a curated record.